UAGCUAGUUGGUGAGGUAAAGGCUUACCAAGGCGACGAUCUGUAGCGGGUCUGAGAGGAUGAUCCGCCACACUGGAACUGAGACACGGUCCAGACUCCUACGGGAGGCAGCAGUGGGGAAUUUUGGACAAUGGGGGCAACCCUGAUCCAGCCAUGCCGCGUGAGUGAAGAAGGCCUUCGGGUUGUAAAGCUCUUUCGGCCGGGAAGAAAUCGCAUGGGCCAAUACCCUGUGUGGAUGACGGUACCGGAAUAAGAAGCACCGGCUAACUACGUGCCAGCAGCCGCGGUAAUACGUAGGGUGCGAGCGUUAAUCGGAAUUACUGGGCGUAAAGCGUGCGCAGGCGGUUUUGUAAGACAGGCGUGAAAUCCCCGGGCUUAACCUGGGAACUGCGUUUGUGACUGCAAGGCUAGAGUACGGCAGAGGGGGGUGGAAUUCCACGUGUAGCAGUGAAAUGCGUAGAGAUGUGGAGGAACACCAAUGGCGAAGGCAGCCCCCUGGGUCGAUACUGACGCUCAUGCACGAAAGCGUGGGUAGCAAACAGGAUUAGAUACCCUGGUAGUCCACGCCCUAAACUAUGUCAACUAGGUGUUGGGUGGGUAAAACCAUUUAGUACCGUAGCUAACGCGUGAAGUUGACCGCCUGGGGAGUACGGCCGCAAGGUUAAAACUCAAAGGAAUUGACGGGGACCCGCACAAGCGGUGGAUGAUGUGGAUUAAUUCGAUGCAACGCGAAAAACCUUACCUACCCUUGACAUGCCAGGAACUUGCCAGAGAUGGCUUGGUGCCCGAAAGGGAGCCUGGACACAGGUGCUGCAUGGCUGUCGUCAGCUCGUGUCGUGAGAUGUUGGGUUAAGUCCCGCAACGAGCGCAACCCUUGUCGUUAAUUGCCAUCAUUUGGUUGGGCACUUUAACGAGACUGCCGGUGACAAACCGGAGGAAGGUGGGGAUGACGUCAAGUCCUCAUGGCCCUUAUGGGUAGGGCUUCACACGUCAUACAAUGGUCGGUACAAAGGGUUGCCAAGCCGCGAGGCGGAGCCAAUCCCAGAAAGCCGAUCGUAGUCCGGAUUGCAGGCUGCAGCUCGCCUGCAUGAAGUCGGAAUCGCUAGUAAUCGUGGAUCAGCAUGUCACGGUGAAUACGUUCCCGGGUCUUGUACACACCGCUCGUCACACCAUGGGAGCGGGUUCCGCCAGAAGUAGGUAGCCUAACCGCAAGGGGGGCGCUUACCACGGCGGGGUUCGUGACUGGGGUGAAGUCGUAACAAGGUAGCCGUAGGGGAACCUGCGGCU
RNAcentral lists this ribosomal RNA (1286 nucleotides) under metagenome. RNAcentral describes it as "bacterial SSU rRNA". It matches the Rfam family "Bacterial small subunit ribosomal RNA", at positions 242 to 1519 of the family's 1533-position model. The record is from RNAcentral.